GGGGAUAACAGGCUGAUACCGCCCAAGAGUUCACAUCGACGGCGGUGUUUGGCACCUCGAUGUCGGCUCAUCACAUCCUGGGGCUGAAGUCGGUCCCAAGGGUAUGGCUGUUCGCCAUUUAAAGUGGUACGCGAGCUGGGUUUAGAACGUCGUGAGACAGUUCGGUCCCUAUCUGGUGUGGGCGUUGGAUGAUUGAUGGGAGCUGCUCCUAGUACGAGAGGACCGGAGUGGACGAACCGCUGGUGUUCGGGUUGUCAUGCCAAUGGCAUUGCCCGGUAGCUAUGUUCGGAACGGAUAACCGC
RNAcentral lists this ribosomal RNA (302 nucleotides) under Symbiodinium sp. CCMP2430. RNAcentral's name for it is "partial Bacterial large subunit ribosomal RNA". It matches the Rfam family "Bacterial large subunit ribosomal RNA", at positions 2470 to 2771 of the family's 2925-position model. Lineage: Eukaryota; Dinophyceae; Suessiales; Symbiodiniaceae. The record is from RNAcentral.